UGUGGCCUUGGCCAGGUACUUCCAUUGGCCUCUCCUCUCCUUGCCUUUCCUCAGUACAAGGCAGACACCCUGAAGUCUGUGCAGGCUGGACAGGACCUCAAAGAGGAACACCCAUGGGUCGACUACACCUCCCCAUCCCUCAUCACACUGCUGUUUACGGACUUAGGUGUGUUGACACCAUCCGCUGUAAGCGACGAGCUCAUCAAGCUGUACCUGUGAGCAGUGCCCCUCCUGCCAACAUGCAGGGAGCACAUCUUGUGCAGGGUGAGCAGCCUUUCCACUCCAGCCAGCCAGGGGCCAACAAUGGGACUUUCAGACCUGUAUGCCAAGGGCUCAUUUCAGAGGCCCUGAAGAAUCCUUUUACUCUUGCUGUCACAUCUGAAGCCUGGUCCCAGUUCUAGAAGCAAGGUGAAGCAACCUUGUGGUUUUUAGAGACUCAGUCUCCGGAAGAACAAGUUAAUUACAGACUGCAAAGCUGAGGAGAGAUGGCACAGGAGCAGGGACCCCCCAGCCGUGCUGCAUCACUGAGAGAUGCGGUGACAUUGGCUGAGUACACACCUUCAGUGCCUCACAAGACAGCAGACACUGUAGCUGACGGCAUCUGGCUCCAUGCCCUCAGCAGGAUCCAGCCAGAUAGAAAAAACACCAAUGCAGGAGCCAUUCACAUGGCACUGUCACAGAAUGUUGUCUGUAAAAGAUGCGAGUUUACUCUAAACAUGUUUAAAACCUGAACCGUGGGUUUUUUGUUUUUUGUUUUUUUUUUUUUAAGUUAAAUGUGAGAACAGGCCAGGAUAUUUUCCAGUAAGUUGUAUGAACAAUUUGGAUAUGGUAUUGCCUCACACAAGUUGACAAAGACCAGAAACAGUGCAAGCACAGUUGGGCAGAACCUGUUACCAGAAAAGGCCUAGCAGCACUUCUCAGGAUAAGAUACCCUUCCUGUUUUCAAUAAAACACCACCAGAGCCCGUUCUAAAAUGUUCUCAACCCCAAUCUGGGUAUCAUGGCACCAGCCUGUGGUCCCAGAACUCCUGGCUAAGGCAGGGGGUCAGUCUGAGGUCAUCCUGGACUACAUAGUUGUCUUAGUUUGGGUCUCAUUCCUGAAAGAGACUCCAUGGCAACUCUUACAAAGGCAAACAUUUAGCUGGGGCUGGCUAGUAGUUCCAGAGGUUCAGUCCGUUAUCAUCAUGGUGGGAAGCCUGGCAGUGUACAGGCUGAUGUGGGGCUGGAGAAGCCGAGUUCUACACCUUGAUCCAAAAGCAGCCAGAAGGCUUUCUUCCACACUGGGUGGGGCUUGAGCCUAGGAGCCCUCAAAGGCUGCCUACGCCAUGACAUACCUCAAGGCCACACCUAAUAGUGCCGCUUCCCAUGGGCCAAGCAUAUACAAACCACUACAAUGGUGUAGCCCUGUUGCAAUGAAAAGAAGAGAAAAAAGAACCCUACACACAGUCCCCUCUGCCCCUGUGGGUGCUCUUGGUAGGGCUGUAAAGGAAAUGCAAAGUGUGGGGUGGGAGGAGGCCAGGGCAUGUCAAGUGACUUAGAAAUUUACAAGGCCUAAAAUCAAGUAUACUUUAUUAUCUGUUUUCUUAAAAGUGAGAAAAAUACAUACAUACAUACAUAUAUAUAUACACUUUAAGUCAGUAAUAAAGCACAAAAGUCACCCCAGAAAAAGCACAAUUAAUCAAAAUAAAUACUGAGAUCUGUUAUGUACACUC
This 1711-nucleotide long non-coding RNA is filed under the name Rattus norvegicus (Norway rat). RNAcentral describes it as "long non-coding RNA NONRATT007471". Lineage: Eukaryota; Metazoa; Chordata; Mammalia; Rodentia; Muridae. The record is from RNAcentral.